AAUGAACGUUGGCGGCGUGGAUUAGGCAUGCAAGUCGAGCGCGAAGUGUUUACACUGAAAGCGGCGAAAGGGAGAGUAACGCGUAGAGUACCUACCCCGGGACCGGGAUAGCGUCGGGAAACGUGACGGUAAUACCGGAUAAUGUCUCCGGACCAAAGGUGUGAUUCCACCUGGGGAGUGGUUCUGCGUCCUAUUAGCUAGUUGGCGGGGUAAUGGCCCACCAAGGCAACGAUGGGUAGCGGGCGUGAGAGCGUGGCCCGCCUCACUGGGACUGAGACACUGCCCAGACACCUACGGGUGGCUGCAGUCGAGAAUCUUCGGCAAUGGGCGAAAGCCUGACCGAGCGACGCCGCGUGCGGGAUGAAGGCCUUCGGUUGU
Molecule: ribosomal RNA, 378 nt
Filed under: uncultured bacterium
Lineage: Bacteria
Description: bacterial SSU rRNA
Rfam family: Bacterial small subunit ribosomal RNA
Source: RNAcentral